This is a long non-coding RNA of Carassius auratus (goldfish), 1491 nucleotides long. RefSeq lists it as uncharacterized. Lineage: Eukaryota; Metazoa; Chordata; Actinopteri; Cypriniformes; Cyprinidae. The transcript is spliced from 2 exons. The record is from RefSeq and is a predicted model, not a curated record.
CACUGCUACUGUCACGUGACACCACCUGUGUGACGUCGCAGCCAGUUUGCAGCGCAGGUGGUAAAUCCCGGAAAACACAAACGACCAACAUGUUAUCUAAAUAAAAGAGUAUUUCUCGACAGUUUUGCAAGAAAAUCUAAUUUCUGUGAUAAAAGGCUGUUCACCAUGUCUUCUGGACCUGAGGGUGUUGGGCUGACCCACUGUAAGUGUGUCUUGGUGUUUGCAGUCUUUAUGGAUCUUCUCGGGGUGUCUGCUAUUCUGAUCGGUGUCUUCAUCCCGCUUGAAGUCGGGGGCCGUGACUUUGGGGAUCUGUUGGUGUAUUCGGGAGCUCUACUGGUGUUGAUGUCUAUGGGGGGUUGGGUCAUGUGGUACAGUGGGAAUAUUGAGGGUUUGAUAUCAGGGAAUGAGCUGACACACAAACGCAACGCCGUGGACCGGUUUGCUCGCACCCUUAGUCGUCGCAUACGGAAACCCCACCGCAUCCACAACACAUCCUGACCUCUGACCUCAAGACAUGGCUGAGAGCACAUACACAGGGCUUAGGAAACCACAAACAAGGCCAAAACCUCAGCUGGAAUCUAAGGAAAAUGGAAUGAUAAAGAACGUUUUGCAAGGAUGAAGGUUGACGCGGAUACAGUAUAUUGUUACAAUGUGGUGUUUGUUACUACUACUAUAAAAAAUGUAUAAAAUUGAAGUUAUGUUAUAGUGUUAAUAGCUGUACUGUAGUGCUUCAUAUAUUUUGACAGUUGUACAUAUGAGCUGAUAUUUUUUACACACAAUUCUGUAUUUCUUUUUGCAGCAAAACAUUUUGUUGUACAAAACAUGGGUGAUUAAAUUUCAAGCACUGACACAUUUUAUUUUAAAAUUUAACGCAACUUUAGUGCUUUAUUUUAAUAAUACUGAAUCACUUUUCAGAUCAAAACUCAAUUUAUAAUUAUAGUGUGAAUGCAUUUUACAAAGUUGCAUAUUUUCAUGACACAUCUUCCAGUUGACAAAACAUUAACGCAACAUUAAAGUCACUCUCUCUCUCACUCAUUAAAUAGGAAGAGCCACACAUUCCCCCAUUCAAAAAAAUACUGCAAAAAUGUCAUACAGAAGACUACAUUCACUUUACAACAAAACAUUUGCAAUAAAACCUCACAAUAAACAAUGCAGAUUGAAGUAUAUGCACUAUAAAUGUAAAUUUCACAACAUGUAGGUAGUUUGUCAAACAUGGUCAGUUUCUUGUCAUUUUGAAAUUAUUUAUCUUUGUGCAAGCUUCCAGUUGAUCUAAUGCACGACAAGCAACCAACUGAUUGUGUUCAAAAAUACUUAAUGUAAUGACCAGCAGCAUAUCAGUUUACAUGCAUCACUCCUCAUGAUUUGAAAACAAGAAAAAAACUAUAUUUAUAAUUUCUGGCCUAGCAUUACAAUCAAAACCUGUCUUUGUUAUGGCAUUUAGGAUAAUUGUGUACAAAAAAAAAAAAAAAAAAAACAUUAACUGGUCAAAUA